AGCGGCGGACGGGUGAGUAACACGUAGGCAACCUGCCCCUUGGACUGGGAUAACUACCGGAAACGGUAGCUAAUACCGGAUAAUUCCUCUUAGCUCCUGCUAAGAGGCUGAAAGGCGGAGCAAUCUGUCACCAAGGGAUGGGCCUGCGGCGCAUUAGCUAGUUGGUGGGGUAACGGCUCACCAAGGCGACGAUGCGUAGCCGACCUGAGAGGGUGAACGGCCACACUGGGACUGAGACACGGCCCAGACUCCUACGGGAGGCAGCAGUAGGGAAUCUUCCGCAAUGGGCGAAAGCCUGACGGAGCAACGCCGCGUGAGUGAUGAAGGUUUUCGGAUCGUAAAGCUCUGUUGCCAGGGAAGAACCUCCUUUAGAGUAACUGCUUAAGAAGUGACGGUACCUGAGAAGAAAAGCCCCGGCUAAAUACGUGCCAGCAGCCGCGGUAAUACGUAGGGGGGGAAGCGUUGUCCCGAAUUAUUUGGGGGUAAAAGCGCGCGCAGGCGGCUGUUUAAGUCUGGUGUUAAACCCACUGGGGCUCAACCUGUGGGUCGCACUGGAAACUGGGCAGCUUGAGUGCAGAAAAAGAAAAGUGGAAUUCCACGUGUAGCGGUGAAAUGCGUAGAGAUGUGGAGGAACACCAGUGGGGGAAGGCGACUUUCUGGGCUGUAACUGACGCUGAGGCGCGAAAAGCGUGGGGAGCAA
This 700-nucleotide ribosomal RNA is filed under the name Paenibacillus zanthoxyli. Its description in RNAcentral is "bacterial SSU rRNA". It matches the Rfam family "Bacterial small subunit ribosomal RNA", at positions 94 to 771 of the family's 1533-position model. The record is from RNAcentral. Lineage: Bacteria; Bacillati; Bacillota; Bacilli; Caryophanales; Paenibacillaceae.